CACUAGGUUCCCGUACGAUCACUGAAGUUAAGCAAUGUCAAGACUGGUUAGUACCUAGAUGGGUGAUUGCUUGGGACUACCAGGUUCUGUAGG
Molecule: non-coding RNA, 93 nt
Organism: Acanthosepion pharaonis
Lineage: Eukaryota; Metazoa; Mollusca; Cephalopoda; Sepiida; Sepiidae
Source: the annotation of a GenBank genome assembly